This 672-nucleotide ribosomal RNA is filed under the name uncultured bacterium. RNAcentral's name for it is "bacterial SSU rRNA". It matches the Rfam family "Bacterial small subunit ribosomal RNA", at positions 129 to 796 of the family's 1533-position model. The record is from RNAcentral.
UCCAGUAGCGGGGGAUAACCUGUCGACAGAUAGGCUAAUACCGCAUACGCCCCACGGGGGAAAGCGGAGGACCGCAAGGCUUCGCACUAUCGGAGUGGCCGAUGUCGGAUUAGCUAGUUGGCGGGGUAACGGCCCACCAAGGCGACGAUCCGUAGCUGGUCUGAGAGGACGAUCAGCCACACUGGAACUGAGACACGGUCCAGACUCCUACGGGAGGCAGCAGUGGGGAAUUUUGGACAAUGGGCGCAAGCCUGAUCCAGCCAUGCCGCGUGAGUGAAGAAGGCCUUCGGGUUGUAAAGCUCUUUCGGUGGGGACGAAAAGGUUCGUGCUAAUACCACGGACUAAUGACGGUACCCGAAGAAGAAGCACCGGCUAACUACGUGCCAGCAGCCGCGGUAAUACGUAGGGUGCAGGCGUUAAUCGGAAUUACUGGGCGUAAAGCGUGCGCAGGCGGUUUGUUAAGACAGAUGUGAAAUCCCCGGGCUUAACCUGGGAACUGCGUUUGUAACUGGCAAGCUAGAGUGUGGCAGAGGGGGGUGGAAUUCCAAGUGUAGCAGUGAAAUGCGUAGAUAUUUGGAGGAACACCGAUGGCGAAGGCAGCCCCCUGGGCUAACACUGACGCUCAUGCACGAAAGCGUGGGGAGCAAACAGGAUUAGAUACCCUGGUAGUCC